AGUGAACGCUGGCGGUAGGCCUAACACAUGCAAGUCGAACGGCAGCACAGGAGAGCUUGCUCUCUCGGUGGCGAGUGGCGGACGGGUGAGGAAUACAUCGGAAUCUGCCCAGUCGUGGGGGAUAACGUAGGGAAACUUACGCUAAUACCGCAUACGACCUUCGGGUGAAAGAGGGGGAUCGCAAGACCUCUCGCGAUUGGAUGAGCCGAUGUCGGAUUAGCUAGUUAGCGGGGUAAUGGCCCACCAAGGCGACGAUCCGUAGCUGGUCUGAGAGGAUGAUCAGCCACACUGGAGCUUAGACACGGUCCAGACUCCUACGGGAGGCAGCAGUGGGGAAUAUUGGACAAUGGGCGCAAGCCUGAUCCAGCCAUACCGCGUGGGUGAAGAAGGCCUUCGGGUUGUAAAGCCCUUUUGUUGGGAAAGAAAUCUUUCAGGCUAAUACCCUGGGAGGAUGACGGUACCCAAAGAAUAAGCACCGGCUAACUUCGUG
This 490-nucleotide ribosomal RNA is filed under the name uncultured bacterium. RNAcentral describes it as "partial 16S ribosomal RNA". It matches the Rfam family "Bacterial small subunit ribosomal RNA", at positions 29 to 507 of the family's 1533-position model. The record is from RNAcentral.